This 174-nucleotide non-coding RNA is filed under the name uncultured Paramuribaculum sp. The record is from RNAcentral. Lineage: Bacteria; Pseudomonadati; Bacteroidota; Bacteroidia; Bacteroidales; Muribaculaceae.
UGGUGCUUUUGGUGCCGGACUAAUCUCCGGUGAAAAGGGAAUCAGGUGCGAAUCCUGAACAGACCCGCUGCUGUGAGUCCUGCCAAUGAGCAUGGCGUUAAUGCCACUGUGCCGCUUGAGGCAUGGGAAGGAGCCAUGAUCAGGGACAAGUCAGAAGACCUGCCAGAGGUUUUG